Nicotiana attenuata is the source of this 567-nucleotide long non-coding RNA. RefSeq lists it as uncharacterized. NCBI's taxonomy places the organism in Eukaryota, Viridiplantae, Streptophyta, Magnoliopsida, Solanales, Solanaceae. The record is from RefSeq and is a predicted model, not a curated record. The transcript is spliced from 3 exons.
CCCCUCCCUCUUUUGUUCCAACCCCUUCAUAAAUUUCACCAAACACUUCAGAGCUGCUAAGUAGGAAGAAAACAUACUCGGCCUUCCCUCAAUCCUAGUUAGGGUUUGAAAUGACAAAUUGAGAAUGAAUAUGAGCCUAUGGAGUUGAAACUUGGUGCACCAACUGAAGCUUAAUGGGCAGCUGAAGUGACUUUGGAUCUUGGCACGGAUUUAAUUGGAAUCAUGGAAGAUUGUAGAAGAACUAGAAGAAAGGCCUUCAGAAAUAAAGGAGUCUUUGGUAGAAACGUAUUAGAGAUCCCAGUUGGUAAAUGGAGGCCAAUCAAGGCAAUUCCAUCAACAAAGCUAUCAAACGAGCUGGGAAUACUUGCUCGAAAGUUUCUUUCGCUUCCAAACAAGUGGAAGGACCUCACAAAAGAGGAGAAAGAUGCAACACUUAUUAGAUAAUAUAUUACUUUUCAAGACAAUUAUAUUUUUAUUGUACAACAUAUUGGUUUGUCCUAAAUGUGACAAAAAUAGUCUGUCUCAGAAUGGCCUUAUCAAUAAUAUACUAUAUUCUUUAAUUACGAA